Long non-coding RNA from Ictalurus punctatus (channel catfish), 2895 nucleotides. Lineage: Eukaryota; Metazoa; Chordata; Actinopteri; Siluriformes; Ictaluridae. The record is from Ensembl.
CACACACACACACCCACCAAGUUAUGUUUGAAUCCACACUGUACAUUAGUGGAUAUGUAUUCAAGGUUUGGUCAGAACGAUUCAUUUUAUUCUUCUUCCUCUUAUUAUUAUUAUUAUUAUUCUUUUUCCUUUUAAUUCUGCCAUGGGACUGUGGGGCAAGUCUGAUGAUUCAUUUGUCUAUGACCUUGCUUCUCUCUCUCUCUUCCUUUAUCUUUAGCGUUGUCUCUUUAUCUCACUAUCUCCUGUCAGCUAGAUGAUUGGAGGCGGGACUCUGGUCAGACUCUCCUGGUGAAGUGUUCUGUUAUCAGCAGCGCUUCUCACAUGAUUGGACACGCAUCAAAGUCUUCAUUUUGCCCACUGUACUUGGAAUACUGCUUUUAAAGCAGUCCCCCAUAUGAGGAAAUCUAAAUAAGUCAAAAGGAUGUAAAGGAGCAUGUAAGACGGCCAAAAAAGUUGCCUCUUCCUGAACUGAGCACCGAGGUACUGAUAUUUUGAAAACAGCGCUGUGCGUGCGUGUGUUAAAUAUAGAGAUUAAAUCAUUGGGCCGAUUAUCUGCACAUGCCUAAUUGAAACAAAUCACAUUACACAUCUUGCUAAUUGCAGUCUAUUAAUCACUUAAACAAGUUGUUUAUCUUUCAGCAUUGUGUAGCUGUACUGUCUGACAUCCAACCUCCACUAAAUAGUCUUAUCAUAGGCUGAUUCGCAGAUCAUAGGUUUAACUGGUCGUGUCUGCGAGACGCCAUUUCCUGUUCCUGAUCACUGCCUAAAUCUCUCUCUCUCUCUCUCUCUCUUAAUUAGUCCCAAGUGAUACACCUUUAGUGAUUCUCUCCGAUUCGUUCCAUUUAUAGUGCCGCGUGAAUCAAGUGCUCAUCAUUAAUCAUGACCAGCAAGUCGUUUGGGGUGUUCGGGGUUUUUUUUUUUUUGUUUGUUUUUUUUUGCAAAUGGUUAAUCGACAACGGAAUAUGCGUUCAGUUACUCUGAACAGGUAGAACCGCUUCCUUACCAGCCUCGAAUAAACCCGAUGCACAUACAGCCUUGACCUUCCGUCUCCGUGCAUGGAGAACAUGUAAUUAAUGGAGAAAAUAAUCAUUACCGCUACGUUGAGCUCUAAUCUCUAAUUGUACAAAGCUAAUUAAUCAACUCCAUAUUUAUAAAUGCGCACAUCCUAAUUGGUUGCCAUGGCCGCACGGUUAAAUAUAUCUCUCCUCUCGCAGUCGGGGUUUUGCAUCCCUUUCUUCUAAUCUGUUCUUUUUCAUUUAUCACUUCUUUUUUUUUUUUUUUUUUUUUUGUCACUUGGUCUGAAGGCGGGCGCUAUUCAUAGAGAGAGGGAGAGAGAGAGUGUGAUGAAAUUAAUCAUUGAGAGAGUGAUUGUUUGUGUAUGUUGUGUGUGUGUGUGUGUGUGUGUGUGUGUGUAUAUAUAUAUAGAUAUUUUUUGGUGUAAGGUGUCUGCAACAUAUGUACACAGUUUAUUUUUUUUUAAAUGAAGAUGAUGUGAUUUAAAUGUCCAAAUAUCUAUUGUAAAUAGAAAAUAGACGGACCACCGCUUAAGUGUUUCGCCCACAGAUCCCACCUAAACUGCAUGGCACGAAAUGUCAUCGCAACACUAUUCACAAAUAAAUAAAUAAAUACACCCCCCCCCCCCAAAAAAACAAAAAAAAACAAAAAAAAAAAAAAACACCCCAAACACAUCUGUUCAAGAGAUACAUCAAUGGCGGUGUAUUCUCACACACUCUAGUGUACUGUAGACACCUAUUUUUAGUGAGCGGUGAAGUCUCACACACUUAUAAAGACCUAUUUUAGUGAGUGAUGCAGCCUCGUUCACACACACAUAGAGAGCCACCUGUCCACCUGAUUCUGUGUGUGUGUGUGAGAUAAACGUGUGAGUCAGCGUGUUGAACUGUAUCUGACUCGAAAGUAGUAAUUUCCUCCAGGGUCUUGGAGACACACACACAGAGCGUAAACUGGGCUUCAAACCUAGUACACAGUCCUGUAAAUGAUCAUCAUCAUCAUCCCCACUGCCCUUGAAUCUAUAAGAGCGUCCCUCACCGAGCGAGAGUAAGGCAUGCUGGGUAAAGUAGUUUGCGAGCUGGAGUGUCAUUCGACAGCAAGCUCAGGUUCAGUUCAUUCCUCACAAGGCUGCACCUCAGCGCUGACAAAGGGAAUCGGCGCUCUGCCGCUGUGGGGCUUUAGCGUGUCCGCUGCUAAUUAGCGGGAGUACACGUCGACCUUGCGGUGCUCAGGCUCCUCGAGAAGCGGAUCAGCUAAGGACGGCACACUCGGAGAAUACUAAGGAAGGAGGUGUAACCUCUGCGCUAGGAGAGGCGGUUCUUAGCUGAUCGGUUUCAUUUCUACAGCUCUCAAUCCCUUCAUUCAUCACGCCGUCCCCUCGUGUCGUCCACUUCGGUUCGAAGCCCGUGUGAUUUAGACUCGAAGCCUUAAAUGUCACCUGACCUAACCUGUCUCUCUGUACAUAGUAUAAAUAUUAUAAAUAUGAACGUGUGAUGAUGAAGAAAAAUAAGGUCGGAUUAAUUGAUGUCACAUUUGUGUGUGUGUGUGUGUGUGUGUGUAUACAUGCACAUGGGAAGCAUGAAGGAAUGUUCUAUUUCCUCAGUUUUGACUGACUUGAUUUAACGGCUUUUAAUUUGUUUUUAAACCAUCUUGUCGGUGCUCGAGCAGUGCUUUAUUGUUGCAUUUUGAAUUUCUGUGCUAUGAUGCUUAGAAUAAUUCAUGAUUCUGCUGUGCCCUGUUGGCCAACAUUUUCUGACACUCUACCAACAUAACUAAACAAAUGUCACGUUUUAGGAUUUAUUUUCCAUUUUAGGGUUGCCAGUCUUUGUAAUGUUUUUUUUAUUUUAUUUGGUUUGUAAUUAAAGUAUUAAAAAAAAAACAACAACA